Molecule: ribosomal RNA, 253 nt
Filed under: uncultured bacterium
Lineage: Bacteria
Description: partial 16S ribosomal RNA
Rfam family: Bacterial small subunit ribosomal RNA
Source: RNAcentral
GACGGAGGAUGCAAGCGUUGUCCGGAAUGAUUGGGCGUAAAGCGUCCGCAGGCGGCAGUUCAAGUCUGCUGUCAAAGACCGGGGCUCAACCUCGGAAAGGCAGUGGAAACUGAACAGCUAGAGUAUGGUAGAGGAUGGCGGAAUUCCCGGUGUAGCAGUGAAAUGCGUAGAGAUCGGGAGGAACAUCUGUGGCGAAGGCGGCCAUCUGGACCAGCACUGACACUGAGGCACGAAAGCGUGGGGAGCAAACAGG